UGCCAGCAGCCGCGGUAAUACGUAGGGUGCAAGCGUUAAUCGGAAUUACUGGGCGUAAAGCGUGCGCAGGCAGUUUUAUAAGUCAGAUGUGAAAUCCCCGAGCUCAACUUGGGAACUGCGUUUGAAACUGUAAGACUAGAGUGUGUCAGAGGGGGGUAGAAUUCCAAGUGUAGCAGUGAAAUGCGUAGAGAUCUGAAGGAAUACCAGUGGCGAAGGCGGCCACCUGGACAAAGACUGACACUGAGGCGCGAAGGCGUGGGGAGCAAACAGGAUUAGAUA
RNAcentral lists this ribosomal RNA (279 nucleotides) under uncultured bacterium. Its description in RNAcentral is "partial 16S ribosomal RNA". It matches the Rfam family "Bacterial small subunit ribosomal RNA", at positions 506 to 784 of the family's 1533-position model. The record is from RNAcentral.